UCUUCAUAGGUUGUAACAAUAUUCCGGGAAAAAAAAGAGAAAGAAAGGAAAAACGGGAGGUUUUGAGGUGGAGGAUUUGGAAAUCAUCGGAGGGAGAUCGCCGGAGAGAUGACCUUGCUUGGCGUUGUUCAGGCUUGAGAGAGAAUUCUAGCUUUAGAGAGAAACCCAAGGGAGACCAGUUCCAAGAGCAGGACCCUACUAGAUUGCCUGUGCGAGUAUAGAGCCAGUCAGGGUUGUAGCGGGUCCAUUUUCUUUCUAUUGUGUUGGUGUCGUGAACU
Dioscorea cayenensis subsp. rotundata (Guinea yam) is the source of this 278-nucleotide long non-coding RNA. RefSeq lists it as uncharacterized. The transcript has 3 exons. The record is from RefSeq and is a predicted model, not a curated record. Lineage: Eukaryota; Viridiplantae; Streptophyta; Magnoliopsida; Dioscoreales; Dioscoreaceae.